RNAcentral lists this ribosomal RNA (433 nucleotides) under uncultured bacterium. RNAcentral's name for it is "partial 16S ribosomal RNA". It matches the Rfam family "Bacterial small subunit ribosomal RNA", at positions 29 to 507 of the family's 1533-position model. The record is from RNAcentral.
AACGAACGCUGGCGGCAUGCCUAACACAUGCAAGUCGAACGAGAGCUUCGGGUCUGGUGGCGGACGGAUGCGUAACGCGGGGGGACCUGCCCAUAGAUUCGGAAUAACGCGCCGGAUGAGGUGCGAAUACCGGCGAAUAUAUUGCGAACAAAGAUUUAGCGCCUUUGGAUGGGCCGGCGUUGGAUUGGCUAGUGGUUAGGGUAAAAGGCUACCAAGGCGACGAUAGAUAGCUGGUAUGAGAGGAUGAUCAGCCACACUGGGACUGAGCAACGGCCCAGACUAUUACGCGAGGCAGCAGUGGGGAAUAUUGGAAAAUGGGCGAAAGGCUGAUCCAGCAAUGCUGGGUGAGUGAUGAAGGUCGUAGGGUUGUAAAGUUAUUUUACACGGGAUGAUAAUGACAGUACCGGGAGAAUAAGCUCCGGCUAACUCCGUG